CUACGGGUGGCAGCAGUGGGGAAUAUUGCACAAUGGGCGCAAGCCUGAUGCAGCCAUGCCGCGUGUAUGAAGAAGGCCUUCGGGUUGUAAAGUACUUUCAGCGGGGAGGAAGGGAGUAAAGUUAAUACCUUUGCUCAUUGACGUUACCCGCAGAAGAAGCACCGGCUAACUCCGUGCCAGCAGCCGCGGGAAUACGGAGGGUGCAAGGUUAAUCGGAAUUACUGGGCGUAAAGCGCACGCAGGCGGUUUGUUAAGUCAGAUGUGAAAUCCCCGGGCUCAACCUGGGAACUGCAUCUGAUACUGGCAAGCUUGAGUCUCGUAGAGGGGGGUAGAAUUCCAGGUGUAGCGGUGAAAUGCGUAGAGAUCUGGAGGAAUACCGGUGGCGAAGGCGGCCCCCUGGACGAAGACUGACGCUCAGGUGCGAAAGCGUGGGGAGCAAACAGGAUUAGAUACCCCAGUAGUC
RNAcentral lists this ribosomal RNA (463 nucleotides) under uncultured bacterium. RNAcentral's name for it is "partial 16S ribosomal RNA". It matches the Rfam family "Bacterial small subunit ribosomal RNA", at positions 339 to 795 of the family's 1533-position model. The record is from RNAcentral.